CUCACGUUGAAGCCGCCACCCCAUCCCCUUCUCUCGCGUCGAAGCCGCCGCCCCCUCCCCUUCCCCUCGCGCCGCCGCCCCCUCCCCCUCCCCCUUCCCCUCGCCGCCGCCCUCGGAGAAGCACCGCGGCCGCUGCUGCUCCGCGUCGCCGCUGCUGCUUCGCGUCGCCGCUCCUCACCCACCCACCGCGGUCGCCGUCAAGGACAUGUCGCUCGCGCCGCCAACCCUAUCGAUCUCGCGCGUCACGCCUCGGGAGGAGAGGAAGCCCACGCUACAAUACCCGGCGGAGCACUCCCUCGCGCCGUCGACGGGAGGAGGCCAGGCGGAGUGCGCCGUCGUCGCCGCAGCCUGGAGUGCGCCGUCGUCGCCGCAACUCAUUCGCGCCUCCCCCACGUCUCCGACGAGCUCCAGCGAUGUCCCGGUGGCGGCCGAGGGGCGGGACGCAGCGGAUGGACGCGGCACUCGACCACUUCAACUUGAUGGCCUACCGCAAGGCCGACGUCCGCAACCUCUGUCAACAAGCUGCUCAAGGAUGUGUACGGGAGGGAUGGGUGGCCGUUCCUGGAGGACAGCUGGUACUCCGUCGUGCAGGAGGCGCUCUUUGAGAUGCAGGAGGAGCUCGCUGGCCUCGAUUCGUCCGGCGCAAUCCGGUGCGUCAAGAGGGCGUGCCGUCGGAUGCGCCGUUAGCUUCAGGCCAUGUAUCGACAUUGACAAGGGCAAAGUUAAACAGAUUGUUGGAUCUACUCUCCGGGAUGCAUCGAAUGAUGGCAUGACACGGGUGACAAAAGUCUCCAUCAGAAUUUGCAAAUAUUUACAAAGAAGAUGGACUGGUUGGUGGGCAUGUCAUAAUGCUUGGCGGAGACCCUGCAAGCUGCUAUGCUGCCCUGGAAGCACUCCUCUUCCUGCCUCACCACCUGUUCAGGAACCGUAUCAUAAGUGGUGCCUUCUUCCGCGAACAGUUGCGGUGCUCGCUGUCGGCGUCAGACUCCCAAGCAAGCGAGGAUGACCACGGCGCGGAGGAGGACGAGGACCCGAGCUCGAUUCCGACCACGACGUACCGCACAAGGUCCCUGCUUCCUUCCUGACGGCAAUGGAUCCCUUCCUUGCAGGUAACACUUCCCCUCUCCCUCCCACUGACUUGCUAAUCUAAUUUAGCCACAGGCUGCUACAAAUCACAUUGCUUGCUGCAUCUUACUUUGUUGCCUUGGAUUUUGUUGCCUGGGUUGCUGACGAGAUCCAUCUGCCCGGCUGGAGCCUGUUAUUCUCUUGAUGGAAGUCAGCCCAAUUGUAGAAGCUGAAGGUGUUACCAUUCAUGGACAUGGAACAGAAGCUGCCCAGAUAUUGUGACAACAAAUGGAGGUUAAAUCGGGAAGCGGAAGCCAGUUUGAAUAAGCUUGCGACUGGAGUGUAAAAUAAAUUACCUACACAAAAGAAGGGUUAAAUAAGGAUGAAGGUUCGGGUAUUUGGGUUGCUGAUACGCUGAAACUUCUGUUUUUAUUACUUUAUGAAGGUUCAAGUAUUUGGGUGGUUCCUCUACCUCUCGCGGAUCUCUUGUGCUCUGCUCGUUUCUUACUCUCUUUCUUGUUUCUCUGCUUGAUUUGCAGUUCAGACGGUGCCGUGUCGUUGGGGUUGCCUUGCCGGUCGACCGGAGAUGGAGCUUUAUCGUUUGAUCCUCUGCCCUCCCCGUCGAGGUUGCUCCUCACCAUCGCAGGCACGGUCUGGUCGGGGCCACGACGACGAGAGGAGCAGCAGAGGAUAACUUUUCCCCACGGAUCCUUCUCGUCUUCCACGUGAUUCGAGUCGCCUCUCUCCGUCAGAUCCUGCACGGACCUCCCUGUCAGGCCCCUCUUGCCGCCCGUCGACAUGACCUUCGAUCUUGUUGUGUUGAUCAUGGGGACCAUUCCAUUUGAAGAGGCUCAUGCUGCCCGGAUUUUGUUAAGCAAGCCAUCUAUGUCCCAAAGUUGAGGACCGUUUGGAGAAGAGGCCACCCAGACAAUUUAAACAGAUGCAGGAUAUGAUUAGGCGCACAUAUACAAGUAUCUUUAUGACGACACCUGCACCAGUUUUCAUCGUUGUUGUUCUUGCCUGUUGCCUCCCCCCCUAUCGCUUCGCUAGCGGCGCAAGUAGAGAGAGGAUGUUUGCCUACUACUACUCCCAUCAUCCUGGCUUACAGGUCGCCUUCGUCACAGAGCCGGACGGGGUAUCCCGCCAUGCCUCACGUAGCUUGCAGGCCAGGCUGCUGCCAAAUUAGCCUUCCCUAGCUAUAAGGGUUUCGGUACUUUCAGCUCCUGCGGGUCAUCAUAUUGUUAAUGUGUCAAAGUAAAGAGAAAAAUGAUGCAUUGAAUUACUAAUAAAGUGGUUUGGAUGAGAUCAGAAACCUCUCACUUUUAAUGUUGGAGAUCGUUAUGAACCGAGUGUUUUAGAGAAAUUCAGUUCACAUGAAGCAAGAGAAAGGCAUGUAGCAUACAUUGAGUGAUUAUUAACCCAUUGUGAUACUGAGAAAUUGAUAAAGGAUAUAUUUAUUAACUUGAAUGUUUGACGUGGA
Molecule: RNA transcript, 2545 nt
Organism: Triticum aestivum (bread wheat)
Lineage: Eukaryota; Viridiplantae; Streptophyta; Magnoliopsida; Poales; Poaceae
Exons: 12
Source: RefSeq, a predicted model, not a curated record